Molecule: ribosomal RNA, 211 nt
Filed under: Rhodococcus qingshengii
Lineage: Bacteria; Bacillati; Actinomycetota; Actinomycetes; Mycobacteriales; Nocardiaceae
Description: partial 16S ribosomal RNA
Rfam family: Bacterial small subunit ribosomal RNA
Source: RNAcentral
UUCAACGGAGAGUUUGAUCCUGGCUCAGGACGAACGCUGGCGGCGUGCUUAACACAUGCAAGUCGAGCGGUAAGGCCUUUCGGGGUACACGAGCGGCGAACGGGUGAGUAACACGUGGGUGAUCUGCCCUGCACUUCGGGAUAAGCCUGGGAAACUGGGUCUAAUACCGGAUAUGACCUCCUAUCGCAUGGUGGGUGGUGGAAAGAUUUAU